RNAcentral lists this ribosomal RNA (674 nucleotides) under Clavunculus bursatus. RNAcentral's name for it is "partial large subunit ribosomal RNA". It matches the Rfam family "Eukaryotic large subunit ribosomal RNA", at positions 112 to 633 of the family's 3401-position model. The record is from RNAcentral. Lineage: Eukaryota; Metazoa; Platyhelminthes; Monogenea; Dactylogyridea; Ancyrocephalidae.
GCACCGAAGCCUAUCUGCGUUUGUGGACAAGGCAAUGUGGUGUUUAGGCGUGUCCCUGGAGCCAUUCGUCUACUCGAAGUCCAACUCCGAUUAUGGCUUUGGAUCUGUCCCAUAGAGGGUGAAAGGCCCGUACGAGUAGACAUGAAGCAUAAAGAAUGGUUCUCAGAUGGGUGCGUCUUGGAGUCGGAUUGCUUGAGAAUGCAGUCCAAAGCGGGUGGUAAACUCCAUCCAAGGCUAAAUACUGGCACGAGUCCGAUAGUAAACAAGUACCGUGAGGGAAAGUUGAAAAGUACUCUGAAGAGAGAGUAAAUAGUACGUGAAGCCGCCUGUAGAGAAGCUGGUGGAGUCAAGCUCCAUGCUCGAAUGAUUAACAAGGAGAGGCAUUGUUGUCUUUGGCCCUGCAGUCUUUUAACCUGCAAAUGGUUAGACGGAGUUAAAUCCGUUCCAAGCAUUUCGGUUAAGGUGUUUGUUUUGGCUGUGCGGGGUUGGCCUCUUGUGUUCUAUCAUCGAGCAGCCACCAUGGUUGAUACACUCUUGGUGCGUGGUUGUCAAACUGUGCUCAUGUCGGUCACAAGCUGGCUGGGUACAGGAUGGCAGGUUGCGUCUGGGUUUCUAAUCCAGGCGCAUAUAACGGUUCGCCGGCCGAUGACCAUGCUAUCAUUACUAUUGAGAGU